CGUACACUCCUGCGGGAGGCAGCAGUGGGGAAUAUUGGACAAUGGGCGCAAGCCUGAUCCAGCCAUGCCGCGUGAGUGAUGAAGGCCCUAGGGUUGUAAAGCUCUUUCACCGGUGAAGAUAAUGACGGUAACCGGAGAAGAAGCCCCGGCUAACUUCGUGCCAGCAGCCGCGGUAAUACGAAGGGGGCUAGCGUUGUUCGGAUUUACUGGGCGUAAAGCGCACGUAGGCGGACUAUUAAGUCAGGGGUGAAAUCCCGGGGCUCAACCCCGGAACUGCCUUUGAUACUGGUAGUCUUGAGUUCGAGAGAGGUGAGUGGAAUUCCGAGUGUAGAGGUGAAAUUCGUAGAUAUUCGGAGGAACACCAGUGGCGAAGGCGGCUCACUGGCUCGAUACUGACGCUGAGGUGCGAAAGCGUGGGGAGCAAACAGGAUUAGAAACCCUUGUAGUCC
Molecule: ribosomal RNA, 449 nt
Filed under: uncultured organism
Description: partial 16S ribosomal RNA
Rfam family: Bacterial small subunit ribosomal RNA
Source: RNAcentral